GGUGAGUAACACGUGGGUAUCCACCCUCGGCACCGGAAUAGCCCGGGGAAACCCGGAUUAAUGCCGGAUGGCCCUGCCGGCCCUGCGGGGCCUGGCGGAACAAGGUAGCUUCGGCCUCCUGGCCGAGGACGAGCCCGCGACGGAUUAGCUUGUUGGUGGGGUAACGGCCUACCAAGGCUGCGAUCCGUAGCUGGUCUGAGAGGACGAUCAGCCACACUGGGACUGAGCACACGGUCCAAAUUCAUAGGGAGGCAGCAGUGGGGAAUCUUGCGCAAUGGGCGAAAGCCUGACGCAGCGACGCCGCGUGGGGGAAGAAGGCCUUCGGGUUGUAAACCUCUUUCAGGAGGGACGAAGCCACUCGGGUUAAUAGCCCAGAGGGUGACGGUACCUCCAGAAGAAGCCCCGGCUAACUACGUGCCAGCCGCCGCGG
This 430-nucleotide ribosomal RNA is filed under the name uncultured bacterium. RNAcentral describes it as "bacterial SSU rRNA". It matches the Rfam family "Bacterial small subunit ribosomal RNA", at positions 105 to 520 of the family's 1533-position model. The record is from RNAcentral.